AUACGUAGGGGGCGAGCGUUGUCCGGAAUGAUUGGGCGUAAAGGGCGCGUAGGCGGCCCGGUAAGUCUGGAGUGAAAGUCCUGCUUUUAAGGUGGGAAUUGCUUUGGAUACUGUCGGGCUUGAGUGCAGGAGAGGUAAGUGGAAUUCCCAGUGUAGCGGUGAAAUGCGUAGAGAUUGGGAGGAACACCAGUGGCGAAGGUGACUUACUGGACUGUAACUGACGCUGAGGCGCGAAAGUGUGGGGAGCAAACAGGAUUAGAUACCCUGGUAGUCCACACUGUAAACGAUGAAUGCUAGGUGUAGGGGGUAUCGACCCCUUCUGUGCCGCAGUUAACACAAUAAGCAUUCCGCCUGGGGAGUACGGCCGCAAGGUUGAAACUCAAAGGAAUUGACGGGG
Molecule: ribosomal RNA, 397 nt
Filed under: uncultured bacterium
Lineage: Bacteria
Description: partial 16S ribosomal RNA
Rfam family: Bacterial small subunit ribosomal RNA
Source: RNAcentral